UGUUGUUGUUUUUGUUUAUUUGUAGGUUUUAAAGUGGCUUGGGGGAAAACAGGAAUUGCUAAAGGAAGCAACUUUGCAGCCAAUUACAUCAGUGGAAAACCUAUAUACUCAAGAAUCCACUGUGUUUAAUCCUCUUCGUGCAAAACGGCCUGGUGCGGGAGGAGGGGCUACUGAGGAAACCAAGAAAUAUCUUGCAGAGUUGAUUCAGUCUAGUGCUAAAGAAUGUGACUUCUGUACUUAUAAAGUAAAUACUGCAAAGGAUCCUUUUGAAAGUGUUGAGUCCAA
This is a long non-coding RNA of Pocillopora damicornis (cauliflower coral), 285 nucleotides long. The record is from RefSeq and is a predicted model, not a curated record. Lineage: Eukaryota; Metazoa; Cnidaria; Anthozoa; Scleractinia; Pocilloporidae.